Molecule: non-coding RNA, 5680 nt
Organism: Callithrix jacchus (white-tufted-ear marmoset)
Lineage: Eukaryota; Metazoa; Chordata; Mammalia; Primates; Cebidae
Source: RefSeq, a predicted model, not a curated record
UCCCCCAUCCCUCCAUCUCUCCAUCCCCCACCCUCCACUAUCCCCCAUCCCUCCAUCUUUCCAUCCCUGCGCCUCCACCCCCAUCUUUUAUCCCUUCAUUCCUCCAUCCCUCCAUUCCUCAAUCCCUCCAUCCCUUCAUCUUUUCAUCCAAAGAACAUUUCUUCAGCACAGGAGAGGUGCACCCAGCCCAGUUUCGGGAUUAGGAAAGGCUUCUAGGAGGAGGAAACCUACACUGAGACAGGGAAUGAGUUGGAGGCAGCUGGGUUAGGGCAGAAGGGAAGAUAUUCCCAACAGAGGCCAGGAGGCCUCUAGAGGACCACAUAGUCGAAUUCUGGCCCUCACUUCAUAGGGUGUGGCCCACCAGAGCACAGGAGAGGCUACUGAGGCUGCAGUGGGCAGCAGGGCCAGGCGGUGGAGCUGGGACCACCUGCCCGGCACAGAACAGGGCCAUGCGAGGAGGGAAUGUGGAAGGUCCAGAAGGCCAGGUCCUUGUCUUCUGGCUGUUUACCACCAGCCCUUCCAAAUAGGCCUGCGCCACAUCCCCCAGGCUCCCCAGUGCUUUGAACUCCCCCAUGCUCACGGUUGAAGCCUGCAGCUCCACCCAGCAGGCUCUGUGUCACUGCCUGUGGAGUCCAGCUUCUUCGGGCAGGGCUGUGCCUUAUGCUUCUUAGUGUCCUGCCCCAUGGACCUGAGGGUCCCAGUGUCCUGCCCCAUUGACCUGAGAGCCCCCAGAUAUUCAAAAGAGAAAAAAAUACAGAUGCCCAGGCACAGUGACUCAUACCCGUCAUCUCAGCACUUUGGGAGGCUAAGGUGGGAGGACUGCUUGAGGCCAAGAGUUUGAGAGCAGCCUGGGGAAUUGAGUGAGAACCUGUCUGUAAAAACCAACCGACCAACACACAAACACAAUGUGAAACCUCCCCCUAAAGCCUCCUCCUCCUCCUCCUCCUCUCAGGGGUCCUGGGUGUGUCGGCCUUCUCCCCUUCUUCUCUUCACAGUGCCCCACCACAUCCAGUCACCUAACGAUCCUGCCCACAGCACACCUAGACUCGCCACCAUCCUCGCCCUGCCUGGUCACCAACGCAGGUGGACAUGGCAGCUGCCUUCUCACGGCCCUUCCUGCCUCCAGGAUACACACAUGGUGCAGUCAGAGGCGUCUUUCUAACACAUAAUCUGGGCCUCGCCCUCCCCACUGUCGUGCCUCCUGCUGCCCUCUGGAGAAAGUCCUAAAGUCCUGCCACUGCCUGAAUGACCUUUCCUAGGCUGGCCCAUGUCCACUCCUCGGGGAGCUCCAGGUUCAUUCCUCUAAGACACAAGAGCCAUUUUUUGUGGUCCACACCACAUCUCUGAAGCGGUAGUCCUGGCUCCAGCCCCUGGGCCAUCUUGGGUAACAGCCUAGAAGAAUCCCAAGUCAGGCCUGGCGCGGUGGCUCACGCCUGUCAUCCCAGUACCUUGGGAGGCUGAGGCAGGUGGAUCACCUGAGGUCAGGAGUUCGAGACCGGCCAGACCAACAUAGAGAAACCUGUCUCUACUAAAAAUAGAAAAUAAGCCGGGUGUGGUGGUGCAUGCCUAUAAUACCAGCUACAAGGGAGGCUGAGGCAGGAGAAUCACUUGAACCCUGGAGACGGAGGUUGUAGUGAGCCGAGAUUAUGCCAUUGCACUUCAGCCUGGGCAACAAGAGUGAAACUCCAUCUCAAGAAAAGCAAACAAAUCAACAAAAGUCCUCAAACUGCCUGGUCAGACCCCAUAUCAUCCGGUCCCGGUGAGCUGGGAACCAAGUCCAUGUCCUCAGCACCACGUCCAACACCCAGUUGCCCCUCAGGCAAAAGAAAGUCUCUCUCUGGCUGCAUGGAUGUUAGCGUUCACCCCGCAGGCCCUGCCUCCCUGGGUCUGACUGUUCCGUUUGCUACUUGCGCCUUAAACCAAAGCCAACUGCUUGGCCUCUUCUCUGUCUACAAAACAUUUUCCCCGAUUUUAUGGCUGCAAAAAUUUCCUUCCUGUCUUCACAUUCACAGGCAAGAGAGAGCCCUGGCCCUGACUCAGAAUUGAAUUCUAGCUGGAGGUGUCCUCUCUGUGGCCAGCUCCAGGGAAAGGGUUUAUCUGUUUAUUCCUUGACCUUGAGCAGCUGCCAGAAAGAGGCGAGGCAGGAGCUGGGAGGAGAGCGAGGAGCAAAGCUGAGGACCCUGUGCUCUGCCCCAAGGGACCUGCCAACCAGGUGACCGGAAAUAAGUCAGAGGGAGGGGGCAGCCCUGCUGUGUUCAGGGCCAGGGCCAUGGAGGCCCACGGGGACUCAAAACAGCUAGCGACUCUCUGCUGCGGGUCUGCAGGUCCGGAGGCUGCACCGCCUGCUUUUCCCCAUCCCUGGUCCCCCCGGAAACGGAACCGAGAGCUGGAAGGAGAUGUCAGCCAUCCAGGCAGAAGCCGACCCUGCCAGCCAUGCUGGGGUGACUGGCUGUCACAGACCCUGCCGCGAUGGAAGGAACGGCACCGGACAGCCUGACCUUGUCCACAGCGAGCUUCCACACUAGAGGCGGGGGCACUGGCGGGGGCACUGGCAGGGGCAGGAGACAGAGAAAGAGACAAAGAAAAGGAACCCCUGGCUGGAGUCAGUGCCUCACGCCUGUAAUCCCAGCACUUGGGGAGGCUGAGGCCAGUGGAUCACGAGGUCAUGCGAUGGAGACCAUCCUGGCCAACCAUGGUGAAACUCCAUCUCAACUAAACAAACAACAACAACAAAAUACAAAAUAUUAGCUGGGCAUGGUGGCGCGUGAGCUGUAGUACCAGUUACUCAAGAGGCUGAGGCAGGAGAAUUGCUUGAACGAGGGAGUCGUAGGUUGCAGUGAGCCAAGAUUGCGCCACUGCACUCCAGCUUGGCAACAGUUCUGUCUCAAAAAAAAAAAAAAAAAAGAAAGGGAACCAUUCUCAGAAAGGCCUCUUCCUCCUACCCGCUGCUGGUGCGUGACUGAAAUGUAUCCCAGACGCUUACUGAGCAUCUUUGCGAUAUCCUUACCCUCAAAGGGCCAGCCAUCUUUUCUCCACCUGAAAACUGGAGGCAAGCUUAAAAUGGGAACUGUUUAUUUCAGCCAAAAUAACCUCAUGCUUGACAUUGGAAAAUUUUUUCUGAAUUCCUCCAUCUCAGAUAGUUUGGGAAGCAUGGACUCAGCCCACUGAGUGCCUCAGUUUUCUCAUUAGUGAAAUGGGAAUCGCGAUGGUCUCUAACACCACCACAGCCCUGAGAAGAGAUUCUGCAUUACAAACAGCCGAUUCUCCUCUGAGCGCAGAGGAAGAAGCGUUGGGGAGAGAGUGGACCCCGGCCAGGUGCAAUGGCUCACGCCUGUAAUCCCAACCUUUUGCAAGGCCGAGGCAGGCGGAUCACCAAGUCAGGAUUUCAAGACAGGCCUGGCCAACAUGGUGAAACCCUGUUUCUACUAAAAAGACCAAAAAAAAAAAAAAAAAAAAAUUAUCUGGGCAUAAUGGCGCAGGCCUGUAAUCCUAGUUACUUGGGAGGCUGAGGCCAGAGAAUUGCUCGAAUCCGGACCUAGGAGGUGGAGGUUGCAGUGAGCCAAGAUCAUGCCACUGCACUCCAGCCUGGGCUACAGAGUAAGACUCCGUAUCAAAUAAAAAUAAAAAAUAAAAAAAGAGAGAGAGUAAGUGGACCCCAUUGAGUGUAUCCUACCCCACCCCAAGUUCCUAUAACUUUUAGUCAAUCCUUGAGAUUGGAACACCUCUGCCACUGCAUUCAAAACCUUUCAGGUUUCCAAAGGAACCAUUGGGUAGUUUACUUGUCUGGUUAACAAAUACCUGGGGCCAGCUCAGUGGCUCACGCCUGUAAUCCCAGCACUUUGGGAGGCCGAGGUGGGCAGGUCAAUUCAGCCCAGCAGUUUGAGACCAGCCUAGGCAAGAUGGCAAAAGCUCAUCACUACAAAACAUACAAAAAUGAGCAGGGUGUGGUAGCAUGCACAUGUGGUCCCAGCUGCUUCAGAGGCUGAGGUGGGAGGAUCACCUGAGCCCAAGGAGGUCAAGGCUACAGUGAGCCAUGAUUGCACCACAGCACUUCAGCCCGGACAACAGACAGAGACCCUGUCUCAAAAUGUAAAAUAAAAUAACAUAAUAGGGCCGGGCGCGGUGGCUCACACCUGUAAUCCCAGCACUUUGGGAGGCCGAGGUGGGUGGAUCACGAGGUCAAGAGAUCGAGAUCAUCCUGGCCAACAUGGUUAAACCCCUUCUCUACUAAAAUACAAAAAAUUAGCAGGGUGUGGUAAUGGGGGCCUAUAGGCCCAACUACUCGGGAGGCUGAGGCAGGGGAAUCACUUGAACCCGGGCGGCAGAGGUUGCAGUGAGCCGAGAUCGCACCACUGCACUCCAGCUGAGAGGCAGAGCAAGACUCCAUCUCAAAAAUAAAGAAAUGAAUAAAAUAAAAUAUCUGUAGCCCACAUACAGGGUAAGAGCCAGAGAGUCUGGUGGUUAAGAACUUUGGAGCAAGGCGGCCCUGGAGUCCAAUCUUGGCCCUGCCACCUACUACCUGAGUGACCUUGGGCAGCUCACUUAACCUCUCUGAGCCACAAUGUUCCCAGAACAGAGCCAGGAGGAGUCCUAAGCUCAGGACUCCAUGCAGGGCUGAGAUCUGGCCCACAAUGUGCGCAUACCUGCAGAGAGCCUGGCCACCCCAGACACUCACUAUUUCUAGGCUCUAGGUCCCCCACCCUCAGGGAGUUCUGUGGAUUAAGAAGGAAUGGGUGGUGCCUUGAGAUACUACACUUGCCAGGUGUUACUUUUGGAAAUUAAAUGAAUUUAAGGGUUUUGAAUAUUUGAGAAUGGAGAGAUUUAAACAUAAAAGGUCCCUUAAGAUGGACAGAAGUCUUACCAAUUAGAUUUGUAUUGUGUGGAACCGGGAGGCUUGUCUGAGUCCCCCCUCUAGAAAACACAGCUCUCUUCAAAGGGUAAAGUGCCGGCAGGAUGGCUAACCCACGUGAUGGCUCUUCAAGCUUCUCCUUUGAAUGACCUGCUAGGACUUGGCUAAAGCAAGUCACGUGGCCAAACCUGAUUUGGUGGGGAGGGGAAUUGUACCCAGCACUGGAGGCCCUGCAGGUCACGUAGCAAUGGAGCAGGAUGGAUAAUCCUCUCACUAGGAGGACUGCGAAUAACUGGAAGCAGUGACCAGUCUGUUACCAUUCACCACCUUGGUAGCAAAUGUCACUCCCCUCUCUUGUGUGGGCGUGGUGGAUUGAAGAUGGCUGCAGAUUCCCAGCAAGACAUGGAGUUUCUUCCUCCUCCCCUUGGAUCUGGGCCGACUCCAGCACUGGCUUUCAUCAACAGGAUGCAGCAGAAGCAAUGCUUCGUGAUUUCCGAGGACUGAGGCUGCAGAGAUUUGAGGCAUCUGCUCUCUCCCAGCUUGAAGUGCUUCCUCUGGGAAGCCAGCCACCAUGAGAAAACCACCCGCCAUGCUGUGAGGAAGCCCAAGAGAGCUGCAUGGAGAGAAGGGCCUGUGGAAGAGCCCUGAGGUGCCACUCACAUGAAGUGAGCCUUUGUGGCCCUUCCAGUCCAGCCACCAGUGAAACACAACCCAGCGACGGUCCCCUGCCAAUGCUUUCUCCAUAGGAGAUGUGUAAAUGGGGUGGGGAGGAAUUUUCUGGUCUCACACACUUACGGGUUGAAUUGUUUCCCUCCCAAAUUCGUAUGUUGA